This 248-nucleotide ribosomal RNA is filed under the name uncultured bacterium. RNAcentral describes it as "partial 16S ribosomal RNA". It matches the Rfam family "Bacterial small subunit ribosomal RNA", at positions 526 to 776 of the family's 1533-position model. The record is from RNAcentral.
CGGAGGGUGCAAGCGUUAUCCGGAUUUACUGGGUUUAAAGGGUGCGUAGGUGGGCGAGAAAGUCAGUGGUGAAAUCUCCGGGCUUAACCCGGAACUGCCAUUGAUACUAUUUGUCUUGAAUACUUGGAGGUAAGCGGAAUAUGUCAUGUAGUGGUGAAAUGCUUAGAUAUGACAUAGAACACCAAUUGCGAAGGCAGCUUACUACACGUAAUUGACACUGAGGCACGAAAGCGUGGGGAUCAAACAGG